This is a long non-coding RNA of Drosophila santomea, 776 nucleotides long. RefSeq lists it as uncharacterized. The record is from RefSeq and is a predicted model, not a curated record. The transcript is spliced from 2 exons. Lineage: Eukaryota; Metazoa; Arthropoda; Insecta; Diptera; Drosophilidae.
UCCCAAUUGGCUCCCAAAUUUUAUUUAUCUUACCGGUUUGUUUUGAUUUGAAAAAGUCUUUUAAAGCUAUUCUCAUCAACUUGUUGAAUUGCAAUGUCAUAGUAAUGGUCUUUGAAGGGUCACUGGAAUUUCAUCUUUAUCCAUGGCGACCAAUAUGAACACUUAUCAGCUCAUUAGAUUUUUGUAUAAACUAAGGACUACUAGUGCAUCUUAGCGCGUGGUUACUGUACUGCCUCUGCACAUCAGCACCUUAAACACGGACAGUGUUUACCUUUUUGUGUGUCGCUUUCGGCGCGUAAAACCAUUUUUAAUUGCUUGCUCCACUGUCACUUUUCUUCGACCGCGCAGCCGCUGACAUUGUAAAAGUUGUUUGCCAUUGUUUUCACUUUGCCAGCGACCACAAUUGAUGGUCCGUCCGGUCGGGCUUGAAUGCCCAAACAGCUCCAAACAAGCCCGCCGCGAUGGGAAAACUCUGCGCAGGCGCGUUGAUCGGCAUUUGGCAAGGAGAUGCAUCUGCCGCGAAGUCGGUUUAAAAUGGGUCAACAGCAGCAGCAGCAUCGCAGCAGCAGCAGCAACAACAGCAGCAUCACAACAGCAGCAUCACAACAGCAGCAUCACAACAGCAGCAGCAGCGUAACAGCAACAACUUCAUACCGCCCACUCCACUCUUCAAAAAUGCCAAAAGAUGCAUUUAAUCCGUGGUUACUGCUUACCUGCUACCUAUUAAAAUAAAAAUAAUAAUAGACUAUGGGAAAAAGUCCCCAAGACUCAGAAAA